UACGUAGGGUGCAAGCGUUAAUCGGAAUUACUGGGCGUAAAGCGUGCGCAGGCGGUUGUGUAAGACAGAUGUGAAAUCCCCGGGCUCAACCUGGGAACUGCAUUUGUGACUGCACAGCUGGAGUGCGGCAGAGGGGGAUGGAAUUCCGCGUGUAGCGGUGAAAUGCGUAGAUAUGCGGAGGAACACCGAUGGCGAAGGCAAUCCCCUGGGCCUGCACUGACGCUCAUGCACGAAAGCGUGGGGAGCAAACAGG
RNAcentral lists this ribosomal RNA (253 nucleotides) under uncultured bacterium. RNAcentral describes it as "partial 16S ribosomal RNA". It matches the Rfam family "Bacterial small subunit ribosomal RNA", at positions 524 to 776 of the family's 1533-position model. The record is from RNAcentral.